This 253-nucleotide ribosomal RNA is filed under the name uncultured bacterium. Its description in RNAcentral is "partial 16S ribosomal RNA". It matches the Rfam family "Bacterial small subunit ribosomal RNA", at positions 524 to 776 of the family's 1533-position model. The record is from RNAcentral.
UACGUAGGGUGCAAGCGUUGUCCGGAAUUAUUGGGCGUAAAGAGCUUGUAGGCGGUUUGUCGCGUCUGCUGUGAAAUUUCGGGGCUCAACCCCGAACUUGCAGUGGGUACGGGCAGACUAGAGUGUGGUAGGGGAGACUGGAAUUCCUGGUGUAGCGGUGAAAUGCGCAGAUAUCAGGAGGAACACCGAUGGCGAAGGCAGGUCUCUGGGCCACUACUGACGCUGAGAAGCGAAGGCAUGGGGAGCGAACAGG